GACGAACGCUGGCGGCGUGCUUAACACAUGCAAGUCGAACGAUGAAGCUGGAGCUUGCUCCGGUGGAUUAGUGGCGAACGGGUGAGUAACACGUGAGCAAUCUGCCCUUGACUCUGGGAUAACUGCGGGAAACUAUAGCUAAUACCGGAUACGACACCUUGGGGCAUCCCAGGGUGUGGAAAGAAUUUCGGUCAAGGAUGAGCUCGCGGCCUAUCAGCUAGUUGGUGAGGUAAUGGCUCACCAAGGCGACGACGGGUAGCCGGCCUGAGAGGGUGACCGGCCACACUGGAACUGAGACACGGUCCAGACUCCUACGGGAGGCAGCAGUGGGGAAUAUUGCACAAUGGGCGAAAGCCUGAUGCAGCAACGCCGCGUGAGGGAUGAAGGCCUUCGGGUUGUAAACCUCUUUUAGCAGGGAAGAAGCGAAAGUGACGGUACCUGCAGAAAAAGCACCGGCUAACUACGUGCCAGCAGCCGCCGUAA
This 483-nucleotide ribosomal RNA is filed under the name uncultured bacterium. RNAcentral describes it as "partial 16S ribosomal RNA". It matches the Rfam family "Bacterial small subunit ribosomal RNA", at positions 28 to 523 of the family's 1533-position model. The record is from RNAcentral.